Molecule: long non-coding RNA, 745 nt
Filed under: Mytilus galloprovincialis (Mediterranean mussel)
Lineage: Eukaryota; Metazoa; Mollusca; Bivalvia; Mytilida; Mytilidae
Source: RNAcentral
UGGUAGAGGAGGAUAUUAUGGAUCAGGAUGCUUUGGAACUAAUUAAAAUUUUCUGGGUUGAUGCUUUAAAAUCAAAAGAAAUUGAAAUGCAAAUGCAAAUGCUUCAAAUGCAAAUGAAACUAGAGGCUCAUGAGAGCCUGGAUCGCUCACCUGGCUUUGAUAAGCUUAUUUGAACAUUUGUAUGUUUUACCCAUAGAGUCCUAUGUUAAACAAUGUCCCCCUGCUGACAGUCAUCCAUCUUCGCUAGCCAAGGAUUACGAUCCGGUGCCCCUCCUCUUCACCCUUGGCAGAUUGAGUCAGAAUUUAUGAAAAUUGCGUUGUGCCUUCUAGCGGAUGAUCGAAGUCAUGCCUUCUCUGACUACAUCAUUACUGAUCACUGAGAGCAAUUGUAUUUUUUGUGGCUUUAGAUGUAACUAUAUUUAACAAUCAUGUCAGAGUAGUCCGGGAAUAUCGAAAAUAUCUCAAUGUUCAAUAAACUAAUUAAAAAUGGUAAAAGUGUCUCUUAAAAGUGAAAUUCUAUGUUGUGGGAUAGGGAUUCCUGGCACAAUCAACACAUGCUCGUUGCUGAUAGAUCUUGACAUAAUGAACAUUUUCAACCCAUGUCAGAUUUGCUCUAAAUGCUUUAGUUUUUGAGAUAUAAGCCAAAAACUGCAUUUUACCCCUAUGUUCUAUUUUUAGCCAUGCUGGCCAUUUUUUUUGAUGAAAUGGAAAAUAAAACACAAACUUUAUUCUAGAUACCCUAAGG